UACGUAGGGUGCGAGCGUUAAUCGGAAUUACUGGGCGUAAAGCGCGCGUAGGUGGUUUGUUAAGUUGGAUGUGAAAGCCCCGGGCUCAACCUGGGAACUGCAUUCAAAGCUGACAAGCUAGAGUAUGGUAGAGGGUGGUGGAAUUUCCUGUGUAGCGGUGAAAUGCGUAGAUAUAGGAAGGAACACCAGUGGCGAAGGCGACCACCUGGACUGAUACUGACACUGAGGUGCGAAAGCGUGGGGAGCAAACAGG
This 253-nucleotide ribosomal RNA is filed under the name uncultured bacterium. RNAcentral's name for it is "partial 16S ribosomal RNA". It matches the Rfam family "Bacterial small subunit ribosomal RNA", at positions 524 to 776 of the family's 1533-position model. The record is from RNAcentral.